This 1518-nucleotide long non-coding RNA is filed under the name Lactuca sativa (garden lettuce). Its description in RNAcentral is "long non-coding RNA (LSAT_LNC006583)". Lineage: Eukaryota; Viridiplantae; Streptophyta; Magnoliopsida; Asterales; Asteraceae. The record is from RNAcentral.
GCGAGCAUAUCCCUCCUGCGUUUCUUUUCUUCUACACUUGUCUCUAGGUUUCGUUCAUUGCGCUUCAAGAUACACAAAUCGAUAUGCAAAUCUAGGGCUUUUUCUGAAAUCACACAACAAGAAAGCCAUGGCAUCCAAUUCUCAGUUCCAGAAAUUUGCGCUUCAAGAUACACAAAUCGAUAUGCAAAUCUAGGGCUUUUUAUGAAAUCGCACAACAAGAAAGACAUGGCAUCCAAUUCUCAGUUUCAGAAAUCACACAAGAAGGCUAUGACAUCCAGGAAUCACUGAAGUAAUUUCUUUUCUCGAUCUCACGCUUUGUUCAGGUCGAUAUCCUUCCGCUCCACUCACCAACUCCACAACUAUCUACGUUCAACAUUCCUUAUUCUCAACCCUCAGGUUUAAUUUUCGAAUUCCCCUCUUAGUACAAAAACUUUUGAGUUUGUGAUUUGUGCAUUUCAGGGAAAUAUGUUUUUCGAUUUUGUUUGUCUUCUUAGCACCUGAUUUGAUCUUUUGGAGUUAUGUGUUAAUUGAUGUUGAUUCAGGAGAACAUGUUGAUUCAUUUUACCAAACUACCCUUAAGAAAUCUAAUAGAAAACAACGACAGAAGAAAAGAAAACCAAACUUAUAUCACUUUAUCAAAUUGCAUUUUUUUUAGUAUGCACAAAUCUAAUAAAAAAGUUUGUUUUUUUGUAUGAAAACUUUGUUAUAUGAAACUGAAUUGAUGUUUAUUGAUGUUAAUUCAGGUUUAUAAAACUGAAUUGAUCAUUUUUUGCUUGAUUCACCAACUUGUUAGUCCUCAAAAAUGUCAUCUUCUUCAAGCAUCAAGAGCAUCAGAAGUAGAAGGAUAGUAAGGAGCGGUGGAGUUGACUUGUGCAAGUGUAAUGAAGAAGCUUCUAUCUUUACAUCAUGGACUGCAAAGAAUCCUGGUAGAAGAUUUUAUGGAUGUCCAAAUUACAAGGUAAAAUGUUUGUAAAUUUUUUUUGUGGAUGUCCAAAUAUAAACCUGAACUUAUACCAUGUAGUGAUAUAAUUGAUCAUUCUUUGCAUUGUACUGAAAUAAAAUUAUAAACCUGUCACUUAAAUAAAAUUAUAUUCUUUGCAGGAUGAAAGUAUGAAUUGCAAAUAUUUCACGUGGAUUGAUGAUGAACUUACAAUCCAAAGGUACAAGGAUCUACUCUUCAAUAUGAACCAUGAUAUGAAGGGUAUGGAAGAUGAGAUCAAAAAAUUAAAGUUAAAGUUGAAGAAAAAAAACAUGUUUGGAAUGUUAAGAACGAAGAGUAAAAUAUGUUAGGAUUGUAGUAUUCUUGGUAGUUGUCUUGACAUUGGUCAUCUUAAGGUUGUGUUACUUUUGAUGAAUUAAGGUAUGUUAGGGUUAUGUUUUCUAUCUUAAGGUUGUGUUACUUUUGAUGAACUAAGGUAUGUUAGGGUUAUGUUUUGUAUGGCAAGAUAGUUGGUUAUGUUUUGUAUGAGUAUAUAAGUACUUUUCUAUAUAUGCUAUUUUCAGUUUACAUUCUUUCAA